AACCAGCACCUCAAGUGGUCAGGAUGAUUAUUGGGCCUAAAGCAUCCGUAGCCGGCUCUGUAAGUUUUCGGUUAAAUCUAUACGCUCAACGUAUGGGCUGCCGAAAAUACUGUAGAGAUAGGGAGUGGGAGAGGUAGACGGUACUCGGUAGGAAGGGGUAAAAUCCUGUCAUCCUGAGAGGACCACCUGUUGCGAAGGCGCCACACUAGAACGGAUCCGACGGUCAGGGACGAAGCCUAGGGGCACGAACCGG
RNAcentral lists this ribosomal RNA (253 nucleotides) under uncultured archaeon. Its description in RNAcentral is "partial 16S ribosomal RNA". It matches the Rfam family "Archaeal small subunit ribosomal RNA", at positions 474 to 727 of the family's 1478-position model. The record is from RNAcentral.